UUAAGUUAUUAAGGGCGCACGGUGGAUGCCUUGGCACUAGAAGCCGAUGAAGGACGUUACUAACGACGAUAUGCUUUGGGGAGCUGUAAGUAAGCUUUGAUCCAGAGAUUUCCGAAUGGGGAAACCCAGCAUGAGUUAUGUCAUGUUAUCGAUAUGUGAAUACAUAGCAUAUCAGAAGGCACACCCGGAGAACUGAAACAUCUUAGUACCCGGAGGAAGAGAAAGAAAAUUCGAUUCCCUUAGUAGCGGCGAGCGAAACGGGAAGAGCCCAAACCAACAAGCUUGCUUGUUGGGGUUGUAGGACACUCUAUACGGAGUUACAAAGGACGACAUUAGACGAAUCAUCUGGAAAGAUGAAUCAAAGAAGGUAAUAAUCCUGUAGUCGAAAAUGUUGUCUCUCUUGAGUGGAUCCUGAGUACGACGGAGCACGUGAAAUUCCGUCGGAAUCUGGGAGGACCAUCUCCUAAGGCUAAAUACUCUCUAGUGACCGAUAGUGAACCAGUACCGUGAGGGAAAGGUGAAAAGCACCCCGGAAGGGGAGUGAAAUAGAACCUGAAACCGUGUGCUUACAAGUAGUCAGAGCCCGUUAAUGGGUGAUGGCGUGCCUUUUGUAGAAUGAACCGGCGAGUUACGAUUUGAUGCAAGGUUAAGCAGUAAAUGUGGAGCCGUAGCGAAAGCGAGUCUGAAUAGGGCGUUUAGUAUUUGGUCGUAGACCCGAAACCAGGUGAUCUACCCUUGGUCAGGUUGAAGUUCAGGUAACACUGAAUGGAGGACCGAACCGACUUACGUUGAAAAGUGAGCGGAUGAACUGAGGGUAGCGGAGAAAUUCCAAUCGAACCUGGAGAUAGCUGGUUCUCUCCGAAAUAGCUUUAGGGCUAGCCUCAAGUGAUGAUUAUUGGAGGUAGAGCACUGUUUGGACGAGGGGCCCCUCUCGGGUUACCGAAUUCAGACAAACUCCGAAUGCCAAUUAAUUUAACUUGGGAGUCAGAACAUGGGUGAUAAGGUCCGUGUUCGAAAGGGAAACAGCCCAGACCACCAGCUAAGGUCCCAAAAUAUAUGUUAAGUGGAAAAGGAUGUGGCGUUGCCCAGACAACUAGGAUGUUGGCUUAGAAGCAGCCAUCAUUUAAAGAGUGCGUAAUAGCUCACUAGUCGAGUGACACUGCGCCGAAAAUGUACCGGGGCUAAACAUAUUACCGAAGCUGUGGAUUGUCCUUUGGACAAUGGUAGGAGAGCGUUCUAAGGGCGUUGAAGCAUGAUCGUAAGGACAUGUGGAGCGCUUAGAAGUGAGAAUGCCGGUGUGAGUAGCGAAAGACGGGUGAGAAUCCCGUCCACCGAUUGACUAAGGUUUCCAGAGGAAGGCUCGUCCGCUCUGGGUUAGUCGGGUCCUAAGCUGAGGCCGACAGGCGUAGGCGAUGAAUAACAGGUUGAUAUUCCUGUACCACCUAUAAUCGUUUUAAUCGAUGGGGGGACGCAGUAGGAUAGGCGAAGCGUGCGAUUGGAUUGCACGUCUAAGCAGUAAGGCUGAGUAUUAGGCAAAUCCGGUACUCGUUAAGGCUGAGCUGUGAUGGGGAGAAGACAUUGUGUCUUCGAGUCGUUGAUUUCACACUGCCGAGAAAAGCCUCUAGAUAGAAAAUAGGUGCCCGUACCGCAAACCGACACAGGUAGUCAAGAUGAGAAUUCUAAGGUGAGCGAGCGAACUCUCGUUAAGGAACUCGGCAAAAUGACCCCGUAACUUCGGGAGAAGGGGUGCUCUUUAGGGUUAACGCCCAGAAGAGCCGCAGUGAAUAGGCCCAAGCGACUGUUUAUCAAAAACACAGGUCUCUGCUAAACCGUAAGGUGAUGUAUAGGGGCUGACGCCUGCCCGGUGCUGGAAGGUUAAGAGGAGUGGUUAGCUUCUGCGAAGCUACGAAUCGAAGCCCCAGUAAACGGCGGCCGUAACUAUAACGGUCCUAAGGUAGCGAAAUUCCUUGUCGGGUAAGUUCCGACCCGCACGAAAGGCGUAACGAUUUGGGCACUGUCUCAACGAGAGACUCGGUGAAAUCAUAGUACCUGUGAAGAUGCAGGUUACCCGCGACAGGACGGAAAGACCCCGUGGAGCUUUACUGUAGCCUGAUAUUGAAAUUCGGCACAGCUUGUACAGGAUAGGUAGGAGCCUUUGAAACGUGAGCGCUAGCUUACGUGGAGGCGCUGGUGGGAUACUACCCUAGCUGUGUUGGCUUUCUAACCCGCACCACUUAUCGUGGUGGGAGACAGUGUCAGGCGGGCAGUUUGACUGGGGCGGUCGCCUCCUAAAAGGUAACGGAGGCGCUCAAAGGUUCCCUCAGAAUGGUUGGAAAUCAUUCAUAGAGUGUAAAGGCAUAAGGGAGCUUGACUGCGAGACCUACAAGUCGAGCAGGGUCGAAAGACGGACUUAGUGAUCCGGUGGUUCCGCAUGGAAGGGCCAUCGCUCAACGGAUAAAAGCUACCCCGGGGAUAACAGGCUUAUCUCCCCCAAGAGUUCACAUCGACGGGGAGGUUUGGCACCUCGAUGUCGGCUCAUCGCAUCCUGGGGCUGUAGUCGGUCCCAAGGGUUGGGCUGUUCGCCCAUUAAAGCGGUACGCGAGCUGGGUUCAGAACGUCGUGAGACAGUUCGGUCCCUAUCCGUCGUGGGCGUAGGAAAUUUGAGAGGAGCUGUCCUUAGUACGAGAGGACCGGGAUGGACAUACCUCUGGUGUACCAGUUGUCGUGCCAACGGCAUAGCUGGGUAGCUAUGUGUGGACGGGAUAAGUGCUGAAAGCAUCUAAGCAUGAAGCCCCCCUCAAGAUGAGAUUUCCCAACUUCGGUUAUAAGAUCCCUCAAAGAUGAUGAGGUUAAUAGGUUCGAGGUGGAAGCAUGGUGACAUGUGGAGCUGACGAAUACUAAUCGAUCGAAGACUUAAUCAA
Molecule: ribosomal RNA, 2921 nt
Filed under: Staphylococcus aureus VET0314R
Lineage: Bacteria; Bacillati; Bacillota; Bacilli; Caryophanales; Staphylococcaceae
Description: bacterial LSU rRNA
Rfam family: Bacterial large subunit ribosomal RNA
Source: RNAcentral